Molecule: long non-coding RNA, 816 nt
Filed under: Crocodylus porosus (Australian saltwater crocodile)
Lineage: Eukaryota; Metazoa; Chordata; Crocodylia; Crocodylidae
Description: lncRNA (ENSCPRG00005007886.1)
Source: RNAcentral
CUAUACCAAAACGUGUCGGUUUUUUUAAGGGUCGGUGUUGGGAAGUUUCAAUAAAUGCACGGAUCUUGAACAGCUGUGGAUGAAAAAAGGCAAGGCAGGUGCCCUGAGUUCACUAGCCCUGUGAAUAAAUAAAGCCAAUUAAGCCUUGCUGGAAAGGAAUAUAGCAGUUGAUGAUAAUGAUCCUAAACAAUACAAUCCAGAUCCUCUGCUGGGGUGGACGGGUAUGCAUCCACUGAAAUGCAGGAUCAAGCGUGGGUCCUGUUUUUAAGGCAAUACUCUGCUCAAGCCAUCUGUGGACCUGGGGAAGCUCAUCUGGAAUUCCCUGGUGACCAGAGGCUGGCUUACAGACUGGAGAAACCGAGGCUACAAAUGGACAUCGUAUCUGUCCUGGGCCAAAAUGUAGUCAUUCAGGCAUCUGCGUCCACUGUCCCAGGACAAGAAAUAAAACAGUUCACAGGGUGAAGGAUAUAAGGUGGAAAGAAAGAAAGAGAGAGAGAAAAAAAAAGAAGGAAGAAGCCAACUCCUAAACCCCUGGAAAUCUGUGUUAAUUGCUUAUGAAUGUCUCUGUCUAAAAAAAAUUAUCGAAUUGAUGUCGUCGUGGGUUUUUUGACAGCCUGUCUGUUACAUUUUUUUAAAUAUUCAUGCACCAAAAUCUAAUUACUAGGCAAAUUUAAUGAUAAUGAAAUGAAGGCACUUUAGCGGAAAGCACAGGGCCCCCGUUAAUGUUUUCUCAGCCUCUGUCUUGUUCGUAAUUUUUUUUUUUUAUGACUGCCUUUCUUGCAUUUAAAAAAAAAAAAGGAUUGCCGAAAAUAAAAC